This 904-nucleotide ribosomal RNA is filed under the name uncultured bacterium. RNAcentral describes it as "bacterial SSU rRNA". It matches the Rfam family "Bacterial small subunit ribosomal RNA", at positions 8 to 916 of the family's 1533-position model. The record is from RNAcentral.
AGAGUUUGAUCCUGGCUCAGGACGAACGCUGGCGGCGUGCCUAACACAUGCAAGUCGUACGGAGUUCACUUGGAAGCUUGCUUCCGAGUGAACGUAGUGGCGGACGGGUGAGUAACGCGUGAGCAACCUGCCUCACAGAGGGGGAUAACACACGGAAACGUGUGCUAAUACCGCAUAAUCCGAUGAAGCGGCAUCGCUUUAUCGGCAAAGGAGCAAUCCGCUGUGAGAUGGGCUCGCGUCCGAUUAGAUAGUUGGUGAGGUAACGGCUCACCAAGUCUACGAUCGGUAGCCGGACUGAGAGGUUGGACGGCCACAUUGGGACUGAGACACGGCCCAAACUCCUACGGGAGGCAGCAGUGAGGGAUAUUGCACAAUGGGCGAAAGCCUGAUGCAGCGACGCCGCGUGAGGGAUGACGGUCUUCGGAUUGUAAACCUCUGUCCUUGGUGAAGAAGAAAGUGACGGUAGCCAAGGAGGAAGCCACGGCUAACUACGUGCCAGCAGCCGCGGUAAUACGUAGGUGGCAAGCGUUGUCCGGAAUUACUGGGUGUAAAGGGAGCGCAGGCGGGCUUGCAAGUCAGCUGUGAAAUUCAAGGGCUUAAUCCUUGACAUGCAGUUGAAACUACAGGUCUUGAGUGAAGUAGAGGUAGGCGGAAUUCCGAGUGUAGCGGUAAAAUGCGUAGAUAUUCGGAGGAACACCGGUGGCGAAGGCGGCCUACUGGGCUUUUACUGACGCUGAGGCUCGAAAGUGUGGGGAGCAAACAGGAUUAGAUACCCUGGUAGUCCACACCGUAAACGAUGAUUGCUAGGUGUGGGGGGUCUGACCCCCUCCGUGCCGCAGUUAACGCAAUAAGCAAUCCACCUGGGGAGUACGGCCGCAAGGCUAAAACUUAAAGGAAUUGACGG